UCUGAAAGUAAGUAGCAUCCGGUGGAUGCCUUGGCCUGUAUUAAGAAGAUGGACUUGUGGAUACCAUGAAACAAGUCUAAAACGUUUAUUCCAUGUCCAAUGGAUAACCAAGUAAACGUUGGGAACUGAAACAUCUUAGUACCAAUAGGAAGAAGAGAAUAUUAUGAUUUCGUGAGUAGCAGCGAGUGAAACCGAACUAGGCAACCCAAGGAUAUAAGUGUGGUCGUUUGGAACAACGAGCUAACUAGUGAUAGCCUAGAUAACACUAAUUAUAUCCCUAAUGAUAAAGUAGAACGAGACACAAUGGAUCUCGUCCGAAGAUAGGAGGACCACCUUCUAAGCCUAAAUAUUAAUACAAGACCGAUAGUGAACUAGUACCGUGAGGGAAAGGUGAAACAGAUAUUCGAACAGAAUAGUGAAACAGAUCCUGAAACCGGAUGUCAAAUCAGUCGGAAGGUUCAAAGACCUGACGACGUACCUUUUGUAUAAUGGGUCAACGAGUUGAUGUUGUUAGCAAAGCUAUAGGUAAUAUAAAGCGAAGCGAAAGCAAGUCCUCAAAGGGCAACAACAAGUUAACAGCAUCAAACCCGAAACCGAGUGAUCUAACCAUGGACAGAUUGAAGGAUAAUAAACAUUAUCCGAAGGAUCGAACCCGUACGUGUUGCAAAACGUUGGGAUGAUCUGUGGUUAGGGGUGAAAGGCCAAUCAAACUCGGAGAUAGCUGGUUCUCUGCGAAAUCUAUUUAAGUAGAGUAUCCAAUGUAUACAUGUUGUGGUAAAGCACUGGAUAGGUUGAGGGCUCACAAGGGCCCGAGACUUAACUAAACUCUGAAUACGAUAUGAUAUUAUUGAAUAAACACACCAUGAGCUUAACGUCCAUGGUGGAAAGGGAAACAACCCAGACCUUGUCAUAAGGUCCUUAAAUCUGAUCUAAGUGUAAUCAAAGGAUGAAUGGUCCAUCGACAAUUAGGAUGUAGGCUUAGAAGCGGCCAUCAUCUAAGGAAAGCGUAACAGCUCACUAAUAUUAGAACCAUUUGUCCGAAAAUGUAACGGGACUAAGAUUCAGUACCGAAGCCAAGGGCAUUGCUAAUCGAACAAUGCGGUAGCAGAGCAUUCCGUAAGCCAUGGAAGACAACCUGUGAGGGUUGUUGGAGGUAUCGGAAGUGAGAAUGUUGACAUGAGUAACGAUAAUUGAAAGAAAGAACCUUUCACACCGAAUAACUAAGGGUUCCUAUUUAAAGUCAAUCUGAAUAGGGUUAGCCGGCACCUAAGGCCAAGCGCAAGCGCAUAACCGAUGGUAAUCACGUUAAUAUUCGUGAGCCUAUCUUGGAUGACCCAGGUAACUUGUUGUCUGAUCUACAGAUGGUUGGAUAUGGCUUGGAGUUACCUGGCAGGAAAAAGUCCAUGAUUUUAUGGCCGUACCAAGAACUGACACAGGUGGUUGGGUAGAGUAUACUAAGGUGAAUGAGAUAAUUGUGUUGAAGGAACUCGGCAAAUUGCAUGUGUAACUUCGGAAGAAACAUGGUCUGUUCUAUGGGUAACCAUAAUCAGAAUAAGAAAAUAAGGGGAAGCGACUGUUUAUCAAAAACACAAGACUCUGCAAAAUCGUAAGAUGAAGUAUAGAGUCUGACGUCUGCCCGGUGCUGACAAGUGAAACCCAGAUGUUUUAAAAGCAUAUGGCCUAAGCACCAGUAAACGGCGGCCGUAACUAUAACGGUCCAAAGGUAGCGAAACCCCUUGUCGGGUAAGUUCCGACCAGCAUGAAUGACGUAACGACUUCCCCGCUGUCUCCAGCACAAGCUCAGUGAAAUUGAAAUCCCCGUGAAGAUGCGGGGUAUCUGCGGCAAGACGGAAAGACCCCGUGCACCUUUACUAUAACCUUGUACUGAUGAAAUCAGAAUUACCGCACAGAGUAAAUGUACUGGCGAUGACCCUCUUGUUCAGGCAAGGGUCGAGCCUUCAAUGAAACAUCAUUCGGUAACAUGACAACAUCUAAUUGCAUCAGGUCAAUCCUGAUCCAAGACCAUGCAAGGUGGGUAGUUUGACUGGGACGGUCACCUCCUAAAAGGUAACAGAGGUGUGCACAAGGUAGGCUCAUGACGUUUGGAAAUCGUCAGUAGAGUACAAUGGCAUAUGCCUGCUUAAGACUGCGAGACAGACAUGUUGAGCAGAGACGAAAGUCGGUCAUAGUGAUCCAAUGGAUCUAAGUGGAAGGGCCAUUGCUCAACGGAUAAAAGGUACGCCGGGGAUAACAGGCUAAUAACCCCUAAGAGCUCUUAUCGACGGGGUUGCUUGGCACCUCGAUGUCGACUCAUCGCAUCCUGGGGCUGAACAAGGUCCCAAGGGUAUGGCUGUUCGCCAUUUAAAGCGGUACGUGAGUUGGGUUCAGAACGUCGCAAGACAGUUCGGUCCCUAUCUACCGCAGACAUAAGAAAGUUGACAGGACCUGUCUCUAGUACGAGAGGACCGAGAUGGACAUACCUCUGGUCUUCCUGUUGUUCGAACCGAAGGGCAUAGCAGGGUAGCUAAGUAUGGAACAGAUAACAGCUGAAUGCAUCUAAGCUGGAAGCUGACCUGGAGAUACUUUCUAUUAAGAACAAUGAUAGAUCAUCAUUUAAUAGACCAAGUGUGUAAUCAUGGUAACAUGUUAAGCUAAUUGGAUCUAAGUUCGAAAUUUACAGAUG
RNAcentral lists this ribosomal RNA (2683 nucleotides) under Candidatus Hodgkinia cicadicola. RNAcentral describes it as "bacterial LSU rRNA". It matches the Rfam family "Bacterial large subunit ribosomal RNA". The record is from RNAcentral. Lineage: Bacteria; Pseudomonadati; Pseudomonadota; Alphaproteobacteria; Hyphomicrobiales.